GCGUAGGGUUCGACCUCUCCUCGCUUCUCUCCCGCAUCUCUCUCUCUCUCUCUCUCUUUCUCUCUCUCUCUCUCUCUCUCUCUCUCGCAGUCGUCGCCGCCAGCCAUCCUCCCCAUCGCCCCCUUCGCCCCGUCAUCUCCCACUCGCUCCACCCCUCUCGCAGUCGUCGCCGCUAGCCAUCUCGUAGGAUGGAGACGCUGGCCGCCUCCAUCUCCUCUCUGUCGCCGUCUGAGCCAGAUGCGGCCGCAGUCUGCCGGCGCCGCGGGCGGAGGAGACGCGCCUAGGUGGAGCCUUCUUCAUCACACGCGGCAGCCGGCGUAGCUCUGCCUCCCACACCCCCAUCAUCUCCGCCACACCCCGUCGCCGUACACGGAGGGGGAGGAGUGGUGGCCGGCAGAGAUCUGCCUCCUUCAUCCAGGUCACGAUGGAGAAGGAGCGGUUGGAGGUGGUGGCUGGUAGAUCUGGCCGCAGCCGACUCCGACGCUGGCUGGCCCAUCGCUCAAGCAACCUUGUAGGAGGAGUCCGGACCACCGCAGCACUGCACAAGAUGGUAUUCCACGAGGACGUCAAGCCGAGAUGGGCUGCUGCUCCCUCCACGGCGAGUCAGAGACUGACACCACGAGCUCGAGCACUAUGGCUGCCACUCCCUCCAUGGCCGAAUCAGAGUCAAAAAAGGGGGCUAGGGACUCUUGGCUUAUCUCUCCUUUCUUUGCCUUGCUGCUGACUUUUAUGGCACCUCCAACCAGCAGCACUACGAGUUGCAAAGUAGCAGUGUGCCUCCAGUUAGCAUUGGACAGAUGGGCGAAGAUGUCGAGACCGCGCUCUGUGUCCUAGGCAUCGUUACUGCCGCCUCUUCUCCACCCCCUAUGAUCAACUAGAGGAAGAAAUUGAUCCCUGAGGGAGACUGGCAAAUCUUGGAAUUCAGGCUGCAAACCUUCAAGUAGGUUUGGAUUAUGAACCUUCUGUUUCCAAUCUGGGUGCCUAGCUAGGACCACCAUGCUCGAAAAGGUGAACGACAGCAAUUUUCCGAUGCAGUCGGCCGACGGAGGAGCCGCUGGCGCCUAUGGUGGAGGUGAAUGCGGACGGCAAAAUCUGUGCGGCGGAAGGGGCGGCGGAUGCAGGCCGAGAAGGGUCGCCGAGAGAGUCGGAGCACUCCAUUGGACAGAUCGAACCUAGAGCUCCGAAAACGAAGAAUGAGGGUAGGUGCUGCUCCGCCGGAAAAGACGCCAUGUCCUAAUCGGACUACUGCUCUGGAGAAGACUAUUUGUGGUUUUGCCGACAAUGCUGGGGACAAUGUCAUAGUGGCAACUUUGGGUGCAAGCUUUGAUUCUCUUGAUGAAGCCUACUACUUCUACACUUUUAUUCAUGGGAGAAAGGAUUUGACAUUAGAUACGUCAAGAGUAGGCUAAAUGUGGAGAGGACAAAAUGCAUGCAGGAGAUUGUUUGUGGUUGUGCGGGGGAAGGCGGGGGUUGAGAACAGAGGAUCGUGCCAUUGUGAAUGCCAUGCUCUCAUCAGGUUGUUGCGGUCCAAGGCCAAUGACUGGUACAUAGCAGAAUACCGUGAGGAGCACAACCGCUUGGACUGGAAGACAUGAUUGCCAAAAAUGGUGGUGUCAUGUACCAAAUUCAGACUGAAGGGGCACUUGUUGCAACGAUGAUGUUAAUUCAGCAAAUGACUCUGGGAACUGAAUUGCAGGACCAUUGCCACCGGCAAAUUAAAAGGAAGGAGAUGGGCAGGUCUACGACCAACAGAGAGAAAGUGACUUACUAUGGCCUGAGCAAGAAGACCACAUUCUGCACCAUUUUCCGGCGACAGGGGCACGAAGGGACUAUGUGCCCAGACUGCGGAGAUGUACCAAAGCAGGCUAGGAGACGUGCUCGAUGCAAGAACUGUGGAGUCAAAGUUCACUGCCGGAACAAUUGCAACAAUGCAGCGGAGCUACGUCUGAAAGUGAGUUGACUGAAAAAUUAGGGAUGUACCUAAGACAGUACUUGCAUGGUUAGGAUAAAUGGUGUAUGCGCAUGACAAUUUCCAGAUAGUGUGGACUGAUUUGUUGUAGCCUGUCUCAUGGUGAAGAUUUAAAAUUUCCGUUGCAUCUGUUGAUCCACAACUGUGUCUUGAUGUAUUACUUGAUACUUCCUGUGUGGAACUUGUCUGAAUAAAUAGUUUGGUGGCUGAAUAACUGUACUGAAUCUGUUGUGAGUUGGGCUGGGUUUUGAUCUUGAGAAUUAUGAUGUGGGUGGGCG
This 2247-nucleotide ribosomal RNA is filed under the name Triticum aestivum (bread wheat). Its description in RNAcentral is "partial small subunit ribosomal RNA". The record is from RNAcentral. Lineage: Eukaryota; Viridiplantae; Streptophyta; Magnoliopsida; Poales; Poaceae.